Mercenaria mercenaria is the source of this 532-nucleotide long non-coding RNA. RefSeq lists it as uncharacterized. The record is from RefSeq and is a predicted model, not a curated record. Lineage: Eukaryota; Metazoa; Mollusca; Bivalvia; Venerida; Veneridae. The transcript has 3 exons.
AUAAAAUGUAAAUUUCAGCAUAUUUUUUCGGACAAAAAUGUGUUUGUGCGUAGAAAUGUGAUCAGGCUGAGCACAUGGCCUUAUGUUUUACAUAAUUUUCGGCGCUUAACGUAAAAACAGUUUAAGGACAUGAUUCACAAACAUUCAAUUUAUGCUUAAAUGUACAUGUGAUACAUUAUGCAUAUGAAUAUAGUUCACGAUAUUAUCGCAUAUGGAAGUAACUGGAAUAAAUUUGGACUACUUCCUUCGGGUGUUUACAUGACUGUGCUGUCAAAAGGCCUCCCAUGUGUAUACAUAUUUUGACAGGUCGAGUUGCUCUUGCAGGAACGACGAUAAGAUGAAUACCUGCACCAUGGAAAUAUUGUAGAUCUAAUUUGUAAACUGUCGUGGAACCUGUGUUCGGCUCGCACAAUUCCUAUUUAAUAGGAAUGCAUGAUGGAGACCAACAGUACAGAAAGAUGAAGAUGUAAAUUGAUCCAAAUAAACAAUGGGACAAUGAAUGUUAUAAUUACCAAGAAGAAGACUGCAUUUU